GGCCAUCUCCACUCAACAGGAACUCCCAGCCCACAUCCUGAUCUGAGAUCCAGCACCCCAAAACUGAACUCCUCUAGGUCAUCCCCAAGGCCUAUUUGUGCAGCAGUGCUUGUUCCCUGGAGUUGUGGGGUCCCAGACGGGGUGUGGUGAAAUGGGCACAGUGGGGCAGUGGCACCUGAGGCCUCCUUAGCUCCAGCCUCCAGCAAGAUGUUCCUGACAGUGACACGGCUGUACUUCAGCGCUGAGGAGGGGGGCGAGCGCUCUGUCUGCCUCACCUUUGCCUUCCUCUUCCUGCUGCUGGCCAUGCUGGUGCAGGUGGUGCGGGAGGAGACCCUCGAGCUGGGCCUGGAGCCUGGUCUGGCCAGCAUGACCCAGAACUUAGAGCCACUUCUGAAGAAGCAGGGCUGGGACUGGGCGCUCCCUGCGGCCAAGCUGGCUAUCCGCGUGGGGCUGGCGGUGGUGGGCUCUGUGCUGGGUGCCUUCCUCACCUUCCCAGGCCUGCGGCUGGCGCAAACCCACCGGGACGCACUGACCAUGUCGGAGGACCGGCCGAUGCUGCAGUUAAGUGGGUCGCUUGGUGGGUGGGGGGAUUAGGGAGCUUAAGGGAGAGACUGGAGGAGAGGGGGUACCCAGGCCUCACUCUCUCCUGCCCUCACCCCCCAGGUUCCUUCUGCACACCAGCUUCCUGUCUCCCCUGUUCAUCCUGUGGCUCUGGACAAAGCCCAUUGCGCGGGACUUCCUGC
RNAcentral lists this small RNA (743 nucleotides) under Pongo abelii (Sumatran orangutan). Its description in RNAcentral is "retained intron". Lineage: Eukaryota; Metazoa; Chordata; Mammalia; Primates; Hominidae. The record is from RNAcentral.